Molecule: ribosomal RNA, 429 nt
Filed under: Bacteroidota bacterium
Lineage: Bacteria; Pseudomonadati; Bacteroidota
Description: Bacteroidetes bacterium partial 16S ribosomal RNA
Rfam family: Bacterial small subunit ribosomal RNA
Source: RNAcentral
UAGGGAAUCUUCCGCAAUGGACGCAAGUCUGACGGAGCAACGCCGCGUGAGUGAAGAAGGAUUUCGGUUCGUAAAACCCUGUUGUUAGAGAAGAACAGCGCAUAGAGUAACUGUUAUGCGUGUGACGGUAUCUAACCAGAAAGCCACGGCUAACUACGUGCCAGCAGCCGCGGUAAUACGUAGGUGGCAAGCGUUGUCCGGAUUUAUUGGGCGUAAAGCGAGCGCAGGCGGUCAAUUAAGUCUGAUGUGAAAGCCCCCGGCUCAACCGGGGAGGGUCAUUGGAAACUGGUUGACUUGAGUGCAGAAGAGGAGAGUGGAAUUCCAUGUGUAGCGGUGAAAUGCGUAGAUAUAUGGAGGAACACCAGUGGCGAAGGCGACUCUCUGGUCUGUAACUGACGCUGAGGCUCGAAAGCGUGGGGAGCGAACAGG